AGGUUCAGGGCCAAGCAAGGUGCCACCUCAAGGGGUGGAGAAUUGGGAAGCCGGUGAGAGACCGGCACUGCCCCCGCAACGGUAACAUCGGGUAAGGGCGCAGCAUUGCCACUGGGGUGAGGACCCUCGGGAAGGCGCUGCAUCCGGUCAUUGACCUCCCUUUGAAAGUCCGGAAACCAGCCUUGCCUCUAUGUCAAAC
RNAcentral lists this non-coding RNA (199 nucleotides) under Phaeobacter sp. CECT 5382. Lineage: Bacteria; Pseudomonadati; Pseudomonadota; Alphaproteobacteria; Rhodobacterales; Roseobacteraceae. RNAcentral also lists the same sequence under 1 other name. The record is from RNAcentral.